GCGUUGGCCUAACCGGAUUUGCAGUGCAUCAGGUAAGGGAAAAAGGAUGGUUAGAUAGAGAGAAGGGGAGUUCUGUGAUUGGAGAGGAGAGGAGACAGGGAUGAGGCAGAGCAUGGGAUGGGGCUAUCAACAGAUGUAGAUUAUUCCUUGCACAAGAGAUGAUGAUGAGCUGUGAAUGAGUUCUGAGAGAUGGCUGGUGUUGUUGUUGCUCCCUCCCCUGCACUGCCUCUUCCCUGGCUCCCCUGCACACCUCUCUCUCU
RNAcentral lists this precursor RNA (260 nucleotides) under Oryza sativa (Asian cultivated rice). Its description in RNAcentral is "precursor microRNA 408 stem-loop". The stretch from base 77 to 258 matches the Rfam family "MIR408 microRNA precursor family". Lineage: Eukaryota; Viridiplantae; Streptophyta; Magnoliopsida; Poales; Poaceae. The record is from RNAcentral.